GACGAGCCACACAAACGUUAUUCGGAAUCACUGGGCUUAAAGGGUGCGUAGGCUGUGCAGAAAGUUGGGUGUGAAAUCCGACAGCUCAACUGUCGAAGUGCACUCAAUACUACUGUGCUAGAGGAAGACAGAGGUAAGCGGAACUGAGGGUGGAGCGGUGAAAUGCGUUGAUAUCCUCAGGAACACCGGUGGCGAAGGCGGCUUACUGGGUCUUUUCUGACGCUGAGGCACGAAAGCUAGGGGAGCGAACGGG
Molecule: ribosomal RNA, 253 nt
Filed under: uncultured bacterium
Lineage: Bacteria
Description: partial 16S ribosomal RNA
Rfam family: Bacterial small subunit ribosomal RNA
Source: RNAcentral